This is an RNA transcript of Canis lupus familiaris (dog), 3225 nucleotides long. It is a transcript of the gene named PVR cell adhesion molecule, with no coding region annotated. The transcript has 9 exons. Lineage: Eukaryota; Metazoa; Chordata; Mammalia; Carnivora; Canidae. The record is from RefSeq and is a predicted model, not a curated record.
GCCCCGCCCCUACUCAGCCGGCGCCGGAGAGCCGGGGUGCGGGUCGGUGGGAGCUUUUCCAGCGCCCGCGGGGAUCCGGUGCUACUAGGCUGCCGGUUCUCUGGGCAGUGGCUGGGCGUCCGCGGCGGCCGGGGAGGGAGCGCGAACCCCGAGAUCCGGGGAAGAGGCUGUGCGGAGGGGCACCCGGAGGAACCCAGUUAUGUGGCCGCCGCCGCUGUGGCUGCUGCCGCUGCUGCCGCUGCUGCUCUGGGCACCCACGGAAGCCGGGCCCGUGACAGUGGGUGUGCUGGCGCCGGCGCAGGUACAUGGCCUCCUGGGCAACACUGCAGAGUUGUCCUGCCAACUGCCGCCACUGGAGCAUGGGGUGCACGUGACACAGGUGACCUGGACCCGGCGGGAUGCGGCAGGAGAGGACUUCAAUGUGGCGGUCUUCCACCCCACGCAGGGCCCCAGCUUCCCGGAGCCUGGGCGGUUGGAGUUUGUGGCCGCCAGGCCCGGUGAGGAGCUGCGGGACGGGUCACUGGCCCUGCGGGGACUGCGCGCAGAUGAUGAAGCCAACUACACCUGCCGCUUUGCCAUGUUCCCCGAGGGCAGCAGGAGUGCCCAUACCUGGCUCCGGGUGUUGGCCCAGCCCGAGAACAAGGCUGAGUCCGAGGAGGUCCUGUUCAGCCCGCUCAGCCCAGAGCCUGUGCCCGUGGCCCGCUGCGUCUCCAGUGAGGGUCGCCCACCCGCCCGCAUCUCCUGGCCACACCUGGACGGCCAGGCCAAUGAGAGCCAGGUGCCUGGACACCUGCCUGGCACGUUCACCGUCAUCAGCCUCUUAACCUUGAUCCCCUCGAGCAAGGUGGACGGCAAGAAUGUCACCUGCAGAGUGGAACAUGAGAGCUUGAAGAAGCCCGUCCUGCUGCCCGUGACUCUCGCUGUGCCUUACCCUCCCGAAGUCUCCAUCUCCGGCUAUGAUGGCACUUUAUACAUGGGCCACAGUGAGGUCACUCUGAGCUGUGACGUCCGCAGCAAACCGGAGCCCACAGGCUAUAACUGGAGCACGACUGUGGGUCCCCUGCCGCCCUCUGCUGUGGCCCAGGGCUCGCAGCUCCUGAUCCAUACCGUGGACGAGUCAAUCAACACGACUUUCAUCUGCCGUGUCAGCAACGCCCUAGGGACUGGCCAGGCAGAACUGAGCAUCCUGGUCAGAGAAAAACCUCCCAACAAGCACGGCUUGUCCACUGUGACCAUCAUCAUUUGUGGAGCUGUGGCCGGGAUCAUUGUGGUCCUGGGGUUGCUGUUAUAUUUCUUGCUGUACAGACGCCCCCGUCAGAACCAACGCAGCUCCACUGCUAAUGGCCAUGUCAUCUAUACAGCUGUGAACCCUGAUGCCAGCUCCUCCCAGGAUCCACAGACAAACAGCCCCAGGUGACAAGGUGACAGUGUCACCACUGUUGGAGAGAGACUGGGACUGGGGAGGAAUGGACUUUGCAGCUGGACCCUGGCCCAGUGGAUGCAGUCUCCCUUCAAAGAGAGUGGCCACCCUUCUCAUGCCAGACCUCAAGACGUACAGUGGCAGGUGCAAGUCCAGCUGUCCCCACGACCCCUCCCUCUCAGGUUCAGUUAUUCACCGGAAGGAAUCCCAGAACUCAGGAAAGUGGUUGUGCUCAUGGUUACAGUUUACUACAACGAAAGUAUGAGAUUAAGAUCAGAAGCAUGAAAAGUCGCAUGAGGCACCAUCCAGAAGAGUCUUGGCACCAGCUUUCACUUGCACUGACAGUACUGAUUUUUCCUGGCAAUGAUAUGUGUCAACACAGAGUCCUGCCAACCGAAGAAGCUCAGCUGAGCCUUGGUUUCCAGGGUUUUUAUUGGGGAGUCCAUCAUUGCAGACACCGGCUGACCACCCAUGGAACUGACUUAGUCUCCAGCACCUCCCUACGGCAAAGCCUCACUAUAAAUCACACUGUUAUCAUAGACUCACUGGUGCUGCCCACAGCCCCAGGCAAAAUAAGACUCUUAUCAGCCAGGAUACUCCCAGGGGCUUAGAGAUUCCCUGCCUCCCAGAGCCAGGGGCAAAGGAAAGGGCUAAAUCUUACUUUGGGCAAGAUUAACCCUUUCCUGCAUUGUCAUUGUGGGGCCACACAGACUAUUGCAAGUGCCAGCAAAGUUUUGUAAGAAUCUGACCUCUGGCCUUGACCUUCUGAAUCUCCAUGUCAGUGGAAUCCCUGUGAUUACAAGAGAGAGCCGCCAGCCUUAUCCAGAAGAGAAGCCGAGGCUGGAACUCAGCUGCUAGGGCACUCUGAGGAGCAGAAACAAUGGUAGACAUAAACUUGGAGGAUGCAAGUUCCUGGCACCUUCUGCCAAGACUUGGGGCCUGGCAUUGACAGGACAUCGGAGGUUGACAGGACAUCAGAGAAGGGGAGCCAGUACCCCACCAAAGAAAGCAAAGUGUCAAAAACAAGGAGGAAAAGGUUCUAGGAGAGCAGAAACCACAGCUGUGCAAGCCAUACAGACGGCCCUCAGACCAGGGAGGAUACAGCCCAACAUCCCAGAGGGAGAACUUCUCAGGUACAACUGACCCAUUUCUUUUACAACAGACUCUGACCUUGGAGGCAGGCACCAGAAUUCCUCUAACAGUGAGACCUGUCUGUUGGGGAAGGACUUGGCAGGAAAGACCAUGGGCCAGAAUGCUAAACUGGAGCAUGAGGCAUGAGCUGCUGUACAAGAGAAAACAAGAAGUUCUUGGGAUUCACUCAGGGUAGAAGGGAGAGUGUGAACAGCCUCCAUAAGGGGCACCGUGUGUGGAGUUCAGCUCUGCUACUCUGCUGUUUGUUCUAUUUUCCACCACUCGUUGGCAUCAUCCUCAGGCUGGUGCCAAGAUGGCUGCUGCAUUCCUGCCAUCACAACCAGACCCAGACCUGGAAAAACAGACCAGCGUGUCCUGGGUGAAAUUCCCCAGCAGCCUCUUCUCGGGCAUCAUUGGCCAGCGUCAUCCACUGCUCAACCAAUCCCUAGCCAAGAGAAGAGGACUGCUUGGGAGGCUUGGACCACUCAGGACCUGUCCUCUGGGGUUAGGGAAGAGCCCAGAGGAAGGCUGCAGAAGGGACAACAGAAGUCUGGAUCUCUGGUAUUUAUUAGCAGUGACUCUCUGGGUAGUUGGAAGAUGACUGAAUGUUACUCUCUUCUUUUUGAGCUCAUACUGUCUAAAUUUUCCAUAUUAAACCUUGACUUUUAAUAAUG